Molecule: ribosomal RNA, 743 nt
Filed under: Escherichia coli
Lineage: Bacteria; Pseudomonadati; Pseudomonadota; Gammaproteobacteria; Enterobacterales; Enterobacteriaceae
Description: partial 23S ribosomal RNA
Rfam family: Bacterial large subunit ribosomal RNA
Source: RNAcentral
ACCAGUACCGUGAGGGAAAGGCGAAAAGAACCCCGGCGAGGGGAGUGAAAAAGAACCUGAAACCGUGUACGUACAAGCAGUGGGAGCACGCUUCGGCGUGUGACUGCGUACCUUUUGUAUAAUGGGUCAGCGACUUAUAUUCUGUAGCAAGGUUAACCGAAUAGGGGAGCCGAAGGGAAACCGAGUCUUAACUGGGCGUUAAGUUGCAGGGUAUAGACCCGAAACCCGGUGAUCUAGCCAUGGGCAGGUUGAAGGUUGGGUAACACUAACUGGAGGACCGAACCGACUAAUGUUGAAAAAUUAGCGGAUGACUUGUGGCUGGGGGUGAAAGGCCAAUCAAACCGGGAGAUAGCUGGUUCUCCCCGAAAGCUAUUUAGGUAGCGCCUCGUGAAUUCAUCUCCGGGGGUAGAGCACUGUUUCGGCAAGGGGGUCAUCCCGACUUACCAACCCGAUGCAAACUGCGAAUACCGGAGAAUGUUAUCACGGGAGACACACGGCGGGUGCUAACGUCCGUCGUGAAGAGGGAAACAACCCAGACCGCCAGCUAAGGUCCCAAAGUCAUGGUUAAGUGGGAAACGAUGUGGGAAGGCCCAGACAGCCAGGAUGUUGGCUUAGAAGCAGCCAUCAUUUAAAGAAAGCGUAAUAGCUCACUGGUCGAGUCGGCCUGCGCGGAAGAUGUAACGGGGCUAAACCAUGCACCGAAGCUGCGGCAGCGACACUAUGUGUUGUUGGGUAGGGGAGCG